RNA transcript from Raphanus sativus (radish), 1510 nucleotides. RefSeq lists it as uncharacterized. Lineage: Eukaryota; Viridiplantae; Streptophyta; Magnoliopsida; Brassicales; Brassicaceae. The record is from RefSeq and is a predicted model, not a curated record. The transcript is spliced from 6 exons.
AGUUUUAUUUAACUGAUGUUUCUAACUAUUGCGGGCUUUGCGUAUGGGCUUGGGCUUCAUGAUGUUUUGACUUUUUAUGUGUCCAUUUUGAACUUUCUUCUUCAGGAAUUAGGGUUAGCCGUUCUCUGCGAUGAAUGAGCUCUAGCAACAAUUGUGAUCAAAUCGAGCAUCCAAAUCGUCCUCGAGAUCAAGCAGCCAUCGUUUCGUAUUUGGUACUUAACCCCAGACGUUAUGAGUUGUCUUCAUUCAUUGGCUUUAAGAGAUGUCUUAACUCCACCGACGAGAAUCAAGCACGACGUCUCAUACAAUGAUAUCAUCCAAUUCCAAGGCGGUUUCUUCAACUAUAAAAAGGGCUCUUCGAAUACAAUAAGCUUUCUCCGAUCCUCUUAUUCGUUGUACGACGAAUCGAUUAAAGAUGGCGAGCGAAAGCCCUGAAGUCGUUGUUGCUCCCGUUAUGGAGAAUGGUGGCGCUGAGUCCUCCUCCUCCUCCAAAGGGAAAGAGGAGGAACAAUUAGAGUCGGAGCUUUCGAAGAAGCUUGAGAUUACAGAGGAUGCAGUAGAAGAGAACGAAGAAGACGCAGAAGAAGAUGGAAGCAAAGGUGAGACAUCAACGAAGAAGAAGAAGAAAAAAAGAGUAAAAGCAAGAAGAAGCCUCAACAGACUGAUCCACCUACAAUCCCUGUCGUUAAGCUUUUUCCAUCUGGAGAGUUUCCUGAAGGUGAAAUCCAACAGUACAAGGAUGACAGUUUGUGGAGAACAACAUCUGAAGAGAAGAGAGAGUUGGAGCGUUUGGAGAAGCCUAUAUACAACUCUGUACGCCAGGCUGCCGAAGUUCAUCGCCAGGUAGAAAAUAUGUAAGAAGCAUAGUGAAGCCUGGAAUGUUGAUGACCGACAAAUGCGAGACACUUGAGGAUACUGUGAUAGGUUCCAGUUCGUAGGACGAGCAGAGCAAUUAAGAGAAUGGAAGCUUGAGGAAGAAGAAACAUAUGAGACAAAGAUGGUCAAGGUGGAUAGCAAAGACUCUGAAUGGAAUAGAGUCUUUGCUCAAGAAAACAAAAAAAAUCCCCAAUCAUGGCAACUUCAUCUGUUUUUCUUGGUGGUUUGAAGACUGGUCACUGCUCAUCCACUAUCCAUGUGCAAUUACUCUGAUUCUGGGAAGCUGAUUCUUGUGCUCUUUGAUAAAGAUCUCUUUUCACAUUCGGUAGGACCGUCUCCAGACUGGUUCACCGGUGCAGCCAGAACUUCAGGCUUUCAGACUCACUUCUGAAAAUCCGGUUCAGUGAUUCAACCAGUCUAGAUGUGCUAAUAUCCUGUUCCUGAAGAAUGUCAGGUUCGGUGAUCAUGAUUUGCUUCUUCGCCUAGCCAAUACCAAGCACGCAUCUUCCAGGCAUUAUAUUAUAGAUUAUGUAUUAACGUUGUUUUUAUUUCAAAAUAUUUUCUCUUAUGUAGUUUGGUAUGGUUUAUUAAAAGUCUAAAACUAUAAUAAAACAGAACCAACUUUUCAACAUAA